This 839-nucleotide ribosomal RNA is filed under the name Clostridiales bacterium 1-IB. RNAcentral's name for it is "partial 16S ribosomal RNA". Lineage: Bacteria; Bacillati; Bacillota; Clostridia; Eubacteriales. The record is from RNAcentral.
CAGGCGGAGUGCUUAAUGCGUUAACUGCGGCACCGAGGUUCGACCCCCGACACCUAGCACUCAUCGUUUACGGCGUGGACUACCAGGGUAUCUAAUCCUGUUCGCUCCCCACGCUUUCGUGCCUCAGCGUCAGUUGCAGUCCAGAGAGUCGCCUUCGCCACUGGUGUUCCUCCUAAUAUCUACGCAUUUCACCGCUACACUAGGAAUUCCACUCUCCUCUCCUGCACUCAAGCCCUACAGUUUCAAAGGCUUACUACGGUUGAGCCGUAGCCUUUGACCUCUGACCUAUAGGGCCGCCUACGCACCCUUUACGCCCAAUGAUUCCGGAUAACGCUUGCCCCCUACGUAUUACCGCGGCUGCUGGCACGUAGUUAGCCGGGGCUUCCUCCUAAGGUACCGUCAUUAUCUUCCCUUAGGACAGAGCUUUACGACCCGAAAGCCUUCAUCGCUCACGCGGCGUUGCUGCAUCAGGCUUUCGCCCAUUGUGCAAUAUUCCCCACUGCUGCCUCCCGUAGAGUCUGGACCGUGUCUCAGUUCCAGUGUGGCCGUUCACCCUCUCAGGCCGGCUACUGAUCGUCGCCUUGGUGAGCCAUUACCUCACCAACUAGCUAAUCAGACGCGGGCCCAUCCUGUACCGAAAUUCUUUGACCUUAUGAGGAUGCCCUCUAAAGGUGUUAUGGGGUAUUAGCAAUGGUUUCCAUUGUUAUCCCCUGUACAGGGUAGGUUGCCACGCGUUACUCACCCGUCCGCCGCUAAGUUAAGUUCAUUCCACCGAAGCUUCCUGAAAAUAACUCCGCUCGACUUGCAUGUAUUAKUACGCGGCAGCGUUCAUCCUGAGC